Molecule: ribosomal RNA, 465 nt
Filed under: Triticum aestivum (bread wheat)
Lineage: Eukaryota; Viridiplantae; Streptophyta; Magnoliopsida; Poales; Poaceae
Description: partial small subunit ribosomal RNA
Source: RNAcentral
AUGGGGACGCCGUGCACGGAGGAUGAUCGCCACUUCUUUGCGGCUGCCACUUUGGUCACUGUUGGAAAUGGACGAACUGCACAAUUUUGGAACUCGUCGUGGCUCAACGGCUUACGCCCCCGUGACAUCGCGCCGGACCUCUUUGCCCUCUCUCGCAAGAAGAAAUCCUCGGUCCAGCAAGCCAUGACCAACAAUCUUUGGAUCACUUCUAUUGAUGGCACCAAUGGUCUGUCCCUCGCACAUAUCGAGCAGUUUGCUGACCUUUGGGAAAGAUUAUCAUCGGUGGCCCUAGUGGAAGAGGUGGAAGACUCGAUUAUUUGGAAGUUCACUAAGGAUGGGACAUAUUCUGCUUCCUCGGCAUACAAGGCUCAGUUUGAAGGUCUGACAUCCUCUGAUCUUGAGCAGUCCGUGUGGAGGGCGUGGGCUCCCCCGAGGUGCAAAUUUUUUGCUUGGCUAGUUCUUUAA